This 292-nucleotide ribosomal RNA is filed under the name uncultured prokaryote. RNAcentral's name for it is "partial 16S ribosomal RNA". It matches the Rfam family "Bacterial small subunit ribosomal RNA", at positions 505 to 796 of the family's 1533-position model. The record is from RNAcentral.
GUGUCAGCCGCCGCGGUAAUACGGAGGGUGCAAGCGUUAAUCGGAAUUACUGGGCAUAAAGCGCACGCAGGCGGUUUGUUAAGUCAGAUGUGAAAUCCCCGGGCUCAACCUGGGAACUGCAUCCGAUACUGGCAAGCUUGAGUCUCGUAGAGGGGGGUAGAAUUCCAGGUGUAGCGGUGAAAUGCGUAGAGAUCUGGAGGAAUACCGGUGGCGAAGGCGGCCCCCUGGACGGAUACUGACACUCAGAUGCGAAAGCGUGGGGAGCAAACAGGAUUAGAUACCCGUGUAGUCC